GGCCGAAGGUGGGAUUAGUGAUUGGGGUGAAGUCGUAACAAGGUAGCCGUAGGAGAACCUGCGGCUGGAUCACCUCCUUU
Molecule: non-coding RNA, 80 nt
Filed under: Clostridium sulfidigenes
Lineage: Bacteria; Bacillati; Bacillota; Clostridia; Eubacteriales; Clostridiaceae
Description: Bacterial small subunit ribosomal RNA
Rfam family: Bacterial small subunit ribosomal RNA
Source: Rfam by way of RNAcentral